Molecule: long non-coding RNA, 589 nt
Filed under: Setaria viridis
Lineage: Eukaryota; Viridiplantae; Streptophyta; Magnoliopsida; Poales; Poaceae
Description: long non-coding RNA (SVIR_LNC008507)
Source: RNAcentral
UGGGAGGUAACAGGAUUUCAACAUGGAGAUUUAAAUUGAUACAUGCACCAUUCAGUUGGGAAUCCACGACUGCGGAGUAAAGCCAUUCGUGUAUUGGUUCCAAGUCAUAUUCUGUCAGUUAGAAUACCAUAACUGCCUCAGCAGGUCGCACAGCAACUUUUUUCCGUUACUGAACCUGUUCUGCCGCUUCCCGCACUGUAAAAUUGUCUCUGUUUGGUUUUGAUUGGAACUACGAACAUUAAUUCAGUAUCUUGUAAAGAAGCUAUCAGUAAUUCAGUAUCUUGUGCCAUCGGCAAACGUUAGGUGUUCAGAUACUCUCAGUACGUGAUCAAAUGGAAGGGUGGUAUAGAUUGUUCACUGAACUUUAUUUGUUAGUUCUACUCUACAUUUAAAGAUGGUUCAAUAUGCUUACAGGUUCUCGUGGAAAACUUGAUCGAGGGUAACAUAUAUUGGGUAUUUCUGGACGGAAUAACAACAGUUCAUCACAAUACACACUUGAAUGAGAUAGUGCAUUCUGCAACUACUCCUGUAUUAUACAACAGAUGUUUGGUGCGAGCCAUCACUCAUCUUGACUCUGUUUAACAUUCCC